AUUGAACGCUGGCGGCAUGCUUUACACAUGCAAGUCGAACGGUAACAGGUCUUUCGGGAUGCUGACGAGUGGCGAACGGGUGAGUAAUGUAUCGGAACGUGCCCAGUAGUGGGGGAUAACUACUCGAAAGAGUGGCUAAUACCGCAUGAGAUCUCUGGAUGAAAGCGGGGGACCGUAAGGCCUCGCGCUACUGGAGCGGCCGAUAUCAGAUUAGGUUGUUGGUGAGGUAAAGGCUCACCAAGCCGACGAUCUGUAGCUGGUCUGAGAGGACGACCAGCCACACUGGGACUGAGACACGGCCCAGACUCCUACGGGAGGCAGCAGUGGGGAAUUUUGGACAAUGGGCGCAAGCCUGAUCCAGCAAUGCCGCGUGCAGGACGAAGGCCUUCGGGUUGUAAACUGCUUUUGUACGGAACGAAAAGCCUUCUUCUAAUACAGGAGGGUCAUGACGGUACCGUAAGAAUAAGCACCGGCUAACUACGUG
RNAcentral lists this ribosomal RNA (484 nucleotides) under uncultured bacterium. RNAcentral describes it as "bacterial SSU rRNA". It matches the Rfam family "Bacterial small subunit ribosomal RNA", at positions 30 to 507 of the family's 1533-position model. The record is from RNAcentral.